This is a long non-coding RNA of Photinus pyralis (common eastern firefly), 340 nucleotides long. RefSeq lists it as uncharacterized. The record is from RefSeq and is a predicted model, not a curated record. The transcript has 2 exons. Lineage: Eukaryota; Metazoa; Arthropoda; Insecta; Coleoptera; Lampyridae.
AUCUUUACACUAUGAUUUGAUAAGCUCUUCAAUUUAGUAUAAAAGACUAGAGCUCGUACGACUUGCAAAAUAAAAAAAAAUGAAGUUCCUUCUUUAUGUUCAAGUCAUAUUAUUGCUGGCGUUUCAAGUAGCGUUCUCCCAUUCUGAAUGCCUAUGCGUCGUUCCACAAUUCUGCAACGAAGGUCCUGGCGUUUAUGUAACGGGUCCAUGUUCCUUUCUUGGAAUUCAGGGAAUGGUAAUAUGCUGUCGAGAUUCCUAACGGGACAAUAUCAAAAUAGUUAUGUUCAUAAAUAAUACAUAUUGUAAUCCAAUUGAAUAAAGAGUACACCAUCUAGCCUUA